RNAcentral lists this ribosomal RNA (4031 nucleotides) under Monilinia fructicola. RNAcentral's name for it is "small subunit ribosomal RNA". The stretch from base 1 to 963 matches the Rfam family "Bacterial small subunit ribosomal RNA", at positions 309 to 1533 of the family's 1533-position model. The record is from RNAcentral. Lineage: Eukaryota; Fungi; Ascomycota; Leotiomycetes; Helotiales; Sclerotiniaceae.
UCCUACCUUAUUAACGGCUGAACCAGCAACUUGGGGGAAUGUAUAGCUCCGGCUAACUAUAUUUAGUUUUUUACUAUAAUAAUAAAAAAUGUAAAUAUUUUAUAUAUUGAAAAAAUAUAGUAUCGAUUUUGUCGAAUAAAGUUCUAGAUAGAAUACUGAUUAUGACUAUUUUCUAUCUAUAUGUCUUGACCAAAUUACGUGCCAGCAGUCGCGGUAAUACGUAGAAGACUAGUGUUAUUCAUCUUUAAUAGGUUUAAAGGGUACCUAGACGGUAAAAUUAGUCUAAAAUAUGAUACGGUUUUACUAGAGUUAUAUAUAAGGAGGUGAGUAUUUAAGGAGUAGAGUUGAAAUUCAGUCAUACCUUAAGGACUGGUAAUGGCGAAAGCAACCUUUUAUCUAAUAACUGACGUUGAGGGACGAAGGCUCGGGUAGCGAACAGGAUUAGAUACCCUGGUAGUCCAAGCAGAAAAUUAUGAAUGCCAUAGAUUAGAAUAUUUUUAGUUUAUAAAUGAAAGUGCAAGCAUUCCACCUCAAGAGUAAUGUGGCAACGCAGGAACUGAAACCAUUAGACCGUUUCUGAAACCAGUAGUGAAGUAUGUUAUUUAAUUCGACGUUACGCGAAAAACCUUACCACAAUUUGUAUAGUAUCCCUGAAAAGGUACUACAAGCGUUGCACGGUUGUCUUCAGUUAAUGUCGUGAGAUAUUGGUUAAUUCCAUUAAAUUAACGGAAACCCUUGCUUUAUUUGCAAGAUUUAUAAAUAAAGCAGUUCACCAGUAUAACGGAAAUGAUAACAGGGACCAAGACAAAUCAUCAUGGCCUGCCGAGCGAUGUAGGAGAUCGCUCAUGUGGGUAAAACUAUCAAACUCCGGGGACCCCCUAAAGCUUCUGGUACCAAGCUAUAGUUGAAAAACUAUAUGUGGCUGAAGUAAUUACUCAGGUUUUUUAUUAGAUUAUCUAUUAAAUAAUCUAAUAGAUAAGGUAACAAGUCAGAAGAUAAUCGAAAGAGCAAUGGGAUAUCGCGGAACUAAGUCAGUAACAGGUUUAAAUAAACCCACAAGCCAAACUAAAUCUGUUACUGUAAAAGCGCAACGAGUAGACGGUAGUUGAUGCAUUAAACCAGCAGUAAAUAAAAAAUUAAUGCAUUUAAGGUAUACUCUAAUGGGCUUCGAAAGAGGUUAUCAAACCAGAAUCCCGUCUAAUCAGAUAAACAUAAGAAGAUUAACCACUAUACAUAUACCUCAUAAUCAAAUGAAUCCUUGAUUCUUAACCGGGUUUUCGGAUGCAGAGGGUUCAUUCUCUAUUUUAGUUCAGCAUAAUAUUAAAUAUAAUACCAAUUGAAGAAUUAAAGCUGUUUUCGCUAUAGGACUACACAAAAAAGACACAGCUAUAUUGGAAAAAAUUCAAACCAUGUUAGGUGUAGGUAAUAUACAUAAACAUGGUAAAGAUUCAGUCCAAUUUAGAGUAGACUCUAUUAAAGAAUUACAGAUUAUCUUAGACCAUUUUGAUAAGUAUCCUCUUAUGUCUGCAAAAAUAGCAGAUUAUAUAUUAUUUAAAAAAGCUUUUAAUAUUAUUAAGGCUGGAGAACAUUUAAAUAAAGAAGGCUUGUUAAAAAUAAUAGGUAUAAAAGCCUCUCUAAAUUUAGGUUUAUCACCUAACUUAAAAGAAAGUUUCCCAAACUUUGUAUUGGUUAGUAGACCAGAAUAUUCUUUUAAAGAGAUUAUUCAUCCUGAGUGAGUCGCAGGAUUCAUAAGUGGAGACGGUAGCUUUAAUAUAAAAACUAGUAGCUCUAUAAGCAGUAAAUUGAGCAGCAGAGUUCAACUAAGAUUCGGAGUAGGUUUAAACCUUAGAGAUAAGGAACUUAUCCAAGGUCUGGUGGUUUUCUUUAAUUUAGAACAAGGUAAACAUAUACACACUACAAGUGAUUCUGUACAUCUUGAAAUUUCCAAAUUCACAGACAUUGUAAAUAUAAUAAUACCGUUUUUUGAUAAGUACCCUAUACAAGGUAUAAAAAGCUUAGAUUUUUCGGAUUUCAAGAAAGUGGCAUCAAUUAUGGAAAAUAAAGGGCAUUUGACCCUAAAUGGUUAUAAUAAUAUUGUGAGUAUUAAAGAGGGAAUGAAUAAAAAUAGAUUAUAGUUAAAAUACUAGUUGUCUAUAAUAAAGGACGCUUUAAACAUAGAUUAACUUUUAAACCCACAGGCUUAAGGUUAAUGUAUGUUUAUCUGCAUGACAAAUCUGGUCGCUAUGAAAUAUUGUGGGCUAUAGACGUGCUGCAUAUUCCUGCUUCUUGAGCUAGGGCCUCAAGUCUGCGGGACAAACUAUCAAACUCCGGGGACACCCUAAAGCUUAUGGUACCAAGCUUUAGUCGAAAGGCUAUAAGUGGCUGAAGUAAUUACUCAGACUUUUUUUAUGAUUGCGGCCAUAAAAAUAAGGUAACAAGUCAUAAGAUGAUUGAAAAUGAAAUGGGUUAUCGCGGAUCUAAGUCAAUUACUAGUGUAAAUGUCCCGCAAGCCAUAAACAAACUAGUGAUUGUAAAAGAGCAACGAGUAGACGGUAGUUGAUGCAUUAAUCCCGGUUACGGCUUGGCUCCAGCGGGCCAAGUAAUGCAUUUAAGGUGUACUCUAAUGGGUUCCGAAAGGAAUUAUCAAGCCAAAACCCUUUCUAAGAUACGUGUUAAUCAAAUUCAAGCUAUACGCUCUUAUUCUACUAUUAUACACACACUUAACUUAGAAAAUACUAUUAUGAAUAAUCCUUGGUUCAUAACAGGGUUUUUUGAUGCAGAGGGAUCUUUUUCUAUUUCUUUAAGAAAUAAAGGAGGCGUUACAUAUUGUGAAGCUAGAAUGGCUAUUAGUUUACACAAGAAGGAUUUAGAUACUUUAAAAAGUAUUCAAGCAUACUUUAAUGGUAAAGGUAGUUUAAUAAAGCACGGUGAGGAUAGUCUUCAAUAUGUUAUUACUUCUGUAGGUCAACUUUCUACUUUAGUUGUACCACAUUUUGAUAAUUAUCCUUUAGUUAGUAAAAAAUAUGCUGACUAUCUUUUAUUUAGAAAGGCUGUUCUUUUAAUCAGAAAUAAAGAACAUUUAACCAUAGAAGGAAUACAAGAGAUUGUGUCCAUUAAAGCUUCUAUGAAUAAAGGUUUAUCUGAUGAACUACAGAGAGCUUUCCCUAAUAGAAUUGAAGUUCCUAGGCCUUUAGUGCCAGACUGUAUCAUACCUGAUCCUCAAUGAAUAGCUGGGUUUACAUCAGGUGAAGGUUGUUUUAUGAUUAAAAUUAGCAAGUCUCCUGCGUCUAAAUUGGGAUUUGGAAUACAAUUAAUAUUCCAACUAACUCAAGAUAACAGGGACGAAGAGUUAAUGAAGUGUAUACUAGCCUAUUUCGGAUGUGGUAUAUUAGUGAAGGAUGGUACUAAAACUGUUUUUUUUGUCAGAAAAUUUACUGACAUUAUAGAUAUAAUUAUACCCUUUUUUAAUAACCACAAAGUAGUAGGUGUAAAGUUACAAGAUUACUUAGAUUGAUGUAAAGGUGCGACGAUAGUUAAGGUCAAAGGUCAUUUGACUCUGCCUGGACUAGAGGAACUCCAAAAAAUAAAAGCAGGUAUGAAUCGUAAGAGAGUAUAAUCACAGGUUAGGUUGUAUAAUAGUAUAAAGUAAUAUAAUAUAGUGUUGAGCUCUGUGGUUAAAUAUGUAUUAAGACAAAUUUGGUCUGCCAUGAUACAAAGAGAUGCAAAAAUGUGAGUUUAAGCUAAUCUCAAAAAGUAGGAUAAAAUAUGGAUUGUAGUCUGAAAUUCGACUACAUGAAUAAGGAAUUACUAGUAAUCGUGAAUCACCACGUCACGGUGGAUUUAAUCUCAGAUAGGUACUAACUACUCGUCAGGCGCCGAAAGAAGUAUGUGCAAUAAGUUUGGCUAACUAUUAUAAUUUAAUUCUAGAUAAAUGGGUCUGGUUAUUAUAGUGGAAGGUUUUCGUAUGCGUGACUUUAAUUGGUGUUAAGUCGAAAUAUGGUUCGUGUAGUGGAAAUUGCACGGGAUUAAUU